This 2821-nucleotide long non-coding RNA is filed under the name Bemisia tabaci. RNAcentral's name for it is "lncRNA ENSSSA3NGG012684". The record is from RNAcentral. Lineage: Eukaryota; Metazoa; Arthropoda; Insecta; Hemiptera; Aleyrodidae.
GUCAAAAAAGUCGCUCAGAACACGCCAGCUCCCAGCCCACGUACCAGCUCUGGCAAGAGAGCUGUCUGUGAUCAUCAGUAUUCCUCUUCCUCCUCUACUUUAGAUCUAGAUUCUGUAGCUGAGGCAACCCCAUCGACAACAAAAAGUAGUCUACGCAACCAAUCUGCCACUGCCAAAAGGAGCAACAGAGUGGCCCAACUGCCUCUUCUAAACGCUUGCUCCGCAUCCUGAAUUCAAGUCACACUGCAGUUUCUUUGGGUAACCCUGAAUUGCCAAGCGAGCAACCAUUGCCAGCCUCUGUCAAAUUCCAAUCGUCAACUUCGACCUCAGCUGGCAGUUUUACACACUUUUCCAUUUCUACAAAUCAUCCCGCCUCUAAGAAGAAACAUUCUAGAACUGCUGUUUUAGGUGCAGAAAAUCCUUCUACAUCUAGCAGUGGCACUACUGUAUGUAAAUACCCUCUACGUAGCCAAACAAAAGCAAGCAGCUCUACUGCCCGACCUACCGCACCGUCCACAAGUAGCUCCAGUAAAUCCAAAACGUCUUCUAAGAAACCAAAAGUUUCUCAUACCGAUAACCUGGGCGGAAGUCAGUCAAACUAUCACACUCGAGAGGCACAACCCUCUCCCUCUCCCCAAACGCGACGAAGUACGCGCUCACAGGCUUCUUCAAAAUCAACAACGGGUCCUGUGCUAGCACGAGUCGCCGCUCUUGCCGAGUAAAGCAGCCAUUGGCUGGAGGGUGCGAGAGUGAAGAGCAAGGACGAGGAAUGUCCACACCUGCCGAGCAGCAAGAUGGAGGUGCAACUGCGUCGGCUCAGCCUCACCAUGUCAACACAACCAACUCGUCCACUGCUAACACAACAGCCACCAAUGAAACGGCUGGUCAUGCACCCUCGGGUAAGUUUUAAGCUAAUCAAGGAUAUUGCUUCCUACAGGGGUGCAAAACUUCUAACCAUGUGACCGGGCGGGUCGCGUUCGGUCGGGUGCUAAAAUGAGAAAGCCCCAAAAAACAGUAUUUUGAAAUGAGAAAGCUGGCAUAAUCACGAUAAUUUUUGCAAAACUGCGGUAAAACUUAUGUGUUUCCUGUAAACCGCAGCAUGAAUCAUCUACUUUGCUCAAAUCGCAGCAAUUUAUGCGUUCAGAGCCAUAAAAAAGUCAUUUUUUCUAAAUUUUUGGAGAUAAGUAGGUAUUUAGAAUGGCAAGGCCAAGAACUUUCUGCACCACUGGUCUUCUAAAGCCAAGUAUACUUCAAAAAUUCUGUGGCACACUCUUAAUUUUUCUGAAGAACUAAAAUGUACCUAAUGAGAUCUGUGAGUAUUCAAGUUUCCUGCUGGCAUACUUCAUUUUUUCUGAUGAUUUUCUUCCCAUGAUAAGCCUCCAAAUUUGAAUAACAGAGCUGAAUACCAUCAAGGUAUUGUGAUUUCCUAAUUGUAUGUUUGAAACUUUUUAGUUUUAAUGGCGAAUGUGGUUGGAGGUGUGACAGACAGUGAAAGUGAAGACAGCGAAGUAGGACGUCUUCAAGUUUUGCUGGAAGCACGUGGACUCCCACCUCAUUUUCUACCUCGUAUGCAGCACCUCCUUCACCGUAGCAUGGGUGCUAAUUCCUGUAAGUAAUAAACUCUUUAGUCUGCUUAGUAGUAACUCUUGGUCUGUCUAGAAGAAUCAACUUUUAACAUCUGAUUUAAUGUGUGAUGCACUUACUGCAGACAAAAAGGCUGUUAUGCCAAGGAGGUCAUAAGUGACCUUCAGAUGAAUAUCUCAAUUUUUCAAGAUAAUGGGCCUGUUGCAAACUUUUGCUAGAGCAUAAAUAAGAGUUGUUUCCUAUAGAUAAUGCCUCAAAAAUCACGAUGAGCGCAUUGGCAAAGUCUGAAAUGCACUCAUAACUUCACAAUCUGCAUAAGAAAUUUGCGUUUUUUUGAGCUUCCCGCUUCAAAAACGAUACUACGGCACAGGUGAACAUUUUGUCAGAAGAGUCCUCCAUCGUCGGCAAUAUUCAUCAUGGCCGACGCUUGCGCAGUUCCGCGCGUAAUUCGAGGAGAGUUCAAGGUCAAUCAAGGCGGGUGAGGAAAUAUGAACGUAAACACGCCAAUUUUUAUCUGGUCUAAUUCUGUUCAGGUGUUAUCUCGUCCCAUCUCAGGUGUUUUGGCGGAUUGUCGUCGGCCAUGAUGAAUAUUGCCGAAAAUGGAGCGACUCCUCUAACAAAACCUCUAACCUGUGCCGUAGUAUCGUUUUUGAAGCGGGAAGCUCAAAAAACCGCAAAUUUCUUACGCAGAUUGUGAAAUUAUGAGUGCAUUUCAGACUUUGCCGAUGUGCUCAUCGUGAUUUUUGAGGCAUAAUCUAUAAGGAACAACUCUUAUUUUUGCUCUAGCAAAAGUUUGCAACAGGCCCAUUAUCCAAUUUUUGAAUUUUUAUGGUGAAUUUGGUCUGGAGACGCUGUAAGGGAGAAAUGAAAGUUAUAUACUCCAUGGACAUCUAGACAACAUGCGACUUUAAAUACUAUAAUACGUAUUUUCUCAACAAAUUUUUACAUAGAACUGGAUUUCUACAACAAAAACUUUUUUUGUUACAAUAAUUCAAACUCACCAAUCAUGAAGAAAACCAUAAUUUACUCGGGUUUUAAAAAAAAUUCCAUAAAUUCCUAUCUUUGCUACAUUGCUGUGCCUUUACAAAGAGUUGAUGUCUCAAAAUUUUGAAAUCCAUCUGAAUAAUGAAGGAAAUAUUUAAAAAAAUUUUGACAGUUUUCAGAUACAUGUAACUAAGAAAGUUUUGACAUCCAAGCUCUGUAUUUUCUCUUGGUUUUCAUACUUUUUCAUUGUCAU